Gasterosteus aculeatus aculeatus (three-spined stickleback) is the source of this 495-nucleotide non-coding RNA. Lineage: Eukaryota; Metazoa; Chordata; Actinopteri; Perciformes; Gasterosteidae. The record is from RefSeq and is a predicted model, not a curated record.
AGUCAGUCUUCGGAGGACAGCGGGGAAGCUCCACCGCCGGGACAGAGUUCACCUUCCCCAGUGGAAUCAAGAGUUUGAAAGGACGGACUUUUCCCCGAAGAAGCCUGUGGUCCCUCUGAUUAAGUGGUUCUCAACAGUUCAACAGUUCUUUGAGAAAAUUGUGAAAUGUUUAGGACCACUUGACCAGUCAGACAAAUGCUACCAGCUCGGGAAAACGUUCUUCAACGAGGAGAGCACCUCGCCGGAGGCCGACUACCUGAACGAUUGUGAAAAAGAAAAACGAAGGCCGUGUGAUUUCCUCUGUUUACCCGACGUCUCUCUCCGCCGUGGCCCCUCGAGUCACGUCGCCAACAGCGGCCCAGGAACCGCUGUGGGGGGGGGGGGGGAGGAGGGCACGCGGUGCCCAAUUUGAAACAGCCGCUUGCUUCUUGCCGCUGUGCUGGUGUCACUAUUCAGGCGAACUGAUUAAAACGAAUCAAUAAAGAAUCACUUGCU